Long non-coding RNA from Triticum dicoccoides, 637 nucleotides. RefSeq lists it as uncharacterized. Lineage: Eukaryota; Viridiplantae; Streptophyta; Magnoliopsida; Poales; Poaceae. The record is from RefSeq and is a predicted model, not a curated record. The transcript is spliced from 2 exons.
UUCAAUUUUCUUCCAUCAACAACUAGGGUUAGGAGAUCUGGAGAUGGUGGCUUCGACCAACAAGACGCCCUCGUUCCGCGCACGGCCGGCGACCGGCGACCGGCGCGACUAAUUCCUCUCCAGCGGCUGCCUUCUCUCCUCUCCGGCCGGUGGCCCACUGCGCCAACCCACCACGACGACCUCGUUCCCGCAGGGCCGGCGACCGACCGGCGCGGCUAAUUCCGUUGCGGCAGCUGGCUUCUCUCUCUCCGACGUAUGGCGCACUGGGCCAAUCCUCCUCUGAGCGCUCCCCAUCGAAUUGGUACUGGAUCCAGGUCCGAAGGUUGCAUGGUGGCACUACUGGCUUCAGCAAAUUAUUAGGACUAAUAUACUAUGGCAUUGUGAUGUUCUUAUCUAGUGUACUGGAGCCAUUAGCUAUUGGCGCUAGACUUAUGCAAGUUAUUAGCUAGCUAUGUGCUUUAUGACUGAUCCAUGUAUAAAGCUGCAGAUUUGCCAUCAGUUAGUGAUGCUCUAUUUUGUAACUUUGUACUGUAGUAAAGCAUUAUCUUAAGUGACUGAAUAAGAUUGAUGCUGCAUAAUGACACUGUGUGCAACUGACCUGAUUGCUUUAAGUUUAUUAUUUAAACAAUGAUUUCAA